Molecule: long non-coding RNA, 782 nt
Organism: Exaiptasia diaphana
Lineage: Eukaryota; Metazoa; Cnidaria; Anthozoa; Actiniaria; Aiptasiidae
Exons: 2
Source: RefSeq, a predicted model, not a curated record
GCAUAAGUUCUCAGUUCUCAUUCUCAACACUCUACUACUCCACGCACGGAUGAAAAUAUGUCGGGAUUUUUUUCCAAAGUGGCUACAUAUGGCCAAAGAACUAUUGCUUUAGGAAUGAGCACACUGACUGUUUAUCUACUGUAUCUUACAGCUAAAGGAGCAUAUAUUAUGAGGCAAAAACGUCUAGAACGUGUAAGACUUAUGGAGUUAAAUGAAGGACAAUCUUUAAAUGACGUCGCAAAGGAAAAGUAAAAUAUAUAAGACCAUGCCACUGCAACUGCCAAGAUUCCAUAGGAUUAUCUGAUUUGUACGAAAGGAUAAAGUUGAAAGAAGUGGAAAAAUGGGAUAAAAUGCAUGGUCACCUUCAAAGCGCCAGUGCAGAUUGUCAUUCAUCAGGAAAAAAACAAUAUAUUAAAAAAACAAUUAUUUUGGUGAAGUUGCUUGGGUUUGCUGUGGUGCCCUAAAUAACUUCCAGAAAUUUGUAAAUAGUGUAUCUACAAAUCUUAUUAUCUACAAUGUACCACCAAUUCAUCCAAAGUUCAUUUCUAAGUCAAGCCUUAAGGUUGUUACAAGUAGUCUGAUGAUCUGAAAUAAUCAUUAUUUUGUACUAUAUCCUAAAGAGUGUCUAAAGGCUAAUAAAUAUGUUAAUUUUAGUCUUCAGCAUUUCUGUUAUCAAUUUUUUUGAAUACUGGUUUCAAGCAUAGACAGUCUCACUCUAAAGCGGUACUUAUGUCAAACAAUUCAAAUUAAUAAUAAAUUAAUAAAUUUGUGAUGCCCUGUGA